GGGAUGCGUUCCAUUAGGCAGUUGGUGAGGUAACGGCUCACCAAACCUUCGAUGGAUAGGGGUUCUGAGAGGAAGGUCCCCCACAUUGGAACUGAGACACGGUCCAAACUCCUACGGGAGGCAGCAGUGAGGAAUAUUGGUCAAUGGGCGCAGGCCUGAACCAGCCAAGUAGCGUGAAGGAUGACUGCCCUAUGGGUUGUAAACUUCUUUUAUAUGGGAAUAAAGUUUUCCACGUGUGGAAUUUUGUAUGUACCAUAUGAAUAAGGAUCGGCUAACUCCGUGCCAGCAGCCGCGGUAAUACGGAGGAUCCGAGCGUUAUCCGGAUUUAUUGGGUUUAAAGGGAGCGUAGGUGGACAGUUAAGUCAGUUGUGAAAGUUUGCGGCUCAACCGUAAAAUUGCAGUUGAUACUGGCUGUCUUGAGUACAGUAGAGGUGGGCGGAAUUCGUGGUGUAGCGGUGAAAUGCUUAGAUAUCACGAAGAACUCCGAUUGCGAAGGCAGCUCACUGGACUGCAACUGACACUGAUGCUCGAAAGUGUGGGUAUCAAACAGGAUUAGAUACCCUGGUAGUCCACACAGUAAACGAUGAAUACUCGCUGUUUGCGAUAUACAGUAAGCGGCCAAGCGAAAGCAUUAAGUAUUCCACCUGGGGAGUACGCCGGCAACGGUGAAACUCAAAGGAAUUGACGGGGGCCCGCACAAGCGGAGGAACAUGUGGUUUAAUUCGAUGAUACGCGAGGAACCUUACCCGGGCUUAAAUUGCAUUUGAAUAUAUUGGAAACAGUAUAGCCGUAAGGCAAAUGUGAAGGUGCUGCAUGGUUGUCGUCAGCUCGUGCCGUGAGGUGUCGGCUUAAGUGCCAUAACGAGCGCAACCCUUAUCUUUAGUUACUAACAGGUCAUGCUGAGGACUCUAGAGAGACUGCCGUCGUAAGAUGUGAGGAAGGUGGGGAUGACGUCAAAUCAGCACGGCCCUUACGUCCGGGGCUACACACGUGUUACAAUGGGGGG
RNAcentral lists this ribosomal RNA (1006 nucleotides) under Bacteroides thetaiotaomicron. Its description in RNAcentral is "bacterial SSU rRNA". It matches the Rfam family "Bacterial small subunit ribosomal RNA", at positions 228 to 1237 of the family's 1533-position model. The record is from RNAcentral. Lineage: Bacteria; Pseudomonadati; Bacteroidota; Bacteroidia; Bacteroidales; Bacteroidaceae.